RNAcentral lists this long non-coding RNA (1628 nucleotides) under Daphnia pulex (common water flea). RNAcentral describes it as "uncharacterized LOC124198761". The record is from RNAcentral. Lineage: Eukaryota; Metazoa; Arthropoda; Branchiopoda; Diplostraca; Daphniidae.
CAGUCACAGACAGACAUGACAUUACACAUUACACGUCGUCAUAAGUUACUUAAAAAGUUUAACAGCGGAGAUCGGGUAACAAGUCAAAUGUUUUUAAGUAAUUUCAGCUGAAGUUUUCAUGUACCUGGCCAACUGGGUGCUCGUGACAAUAGAAAUGAAAUGGUCUAAUCCAAUAAUGCAUGCCCACAACCUUAUGUCUUCUGAAGCAAAAUAAUUUCUGUUGCAAGUUGUAAAUCAUCAAGAUAUUGAUGCCUUCGCCAGAGUCGAUUCUUUGUUGCUAUCUAUUUUGCGGACAACAGCAAGAAAAUGCUGCUACUCAAGAUUUUAUGGUGACCAACACUUUGUUCUAAUUUAGGACAAUGUAAGGUUGAUAGAUUUGAGGUAAAUCCCUCUUCACCACUGUAAUAGUUGUUUGGAAACCGACAAGAGAUUGCUGGAAUUGAAGACUGAUAAUUUGUGUAGAUUUAGAUAAAUUAAAAGUGCAUACCUGGGUCCCCUUCUUUUCUGUCUUAUGAAAGCUUUUGGAGGGUCAUGGUCUAAACCGGAAACCUACUAUGACUAUAUCUCGCCAGUAAAACUGGCCUCAUACUUUUCUCUUCUUCACUGUCCAGGUAAUCUCCCUGGGCACAGUUAGGGCAGUGUCACCUUCUGUUGUGAUUGAUUGCACUUCCAAGUUGGCAAAGUAUAGCGAUUUACAUUUACGGACAGUGAUUCCUUCGUGCUCGCGGCACAUUCAAGAAAUUGCAAUCUUUACUGUCAUAUAUUUUCUAUAUAUUUUUCUUAAUAUAACUUUCUAGAUACUGUUCCAACAUAGUGCUGGGAAUGAUGGACAAUUUGAAAACAAUUCUUAAACGUUUGCAUUCCAUCGAUUUUGAUGCUGGUAUAAAUACAAAUUUUACAAUAUUAUUUGCCAUGUACAUAUUUGUUACAUUAAUCUAAGUAAAAAAAUACUAAAUUUCUGCUAUUAACUAAUAAAAAUUUAGUCAACAUUACACAUUACAUCUCUCCCGUAACUUACCCUGGAAAUGAAGUUAGUUCAAGCAUCAGAAUAUGACCGAAUGCAGAUAGACUAGAGUAAUAAUUACAUCCCAUAUGACGCAGGAAAGAUCCAACAAAAAUUGGAACACGUCGCAAUGUCAAAGAAUUGAAGGUAGCAAGAGAACACAUAAAGAUUAUUACCCGCAUUAAAAAUUUAUUUUCUCAUUAAAGAUCAACAAUUAAUUCCCAUUGACUAGUAACUACUAAGAUAUAACCGACAAAUUUUAAGAUAAUUGAUAAAAUUAAAUCGGCUCUAGUAUUUAGGAGCUUCCCUGUAGUAAACUGGAGAAGCGUAGGUUGUGGUGUAAUAUUCAGGGGCCUUAGUGGUGUAGUAACUCGGCGGAGAAUAAUACUUCGGAGCUUCGGUGUAGUAGGUCGGAGCAGCGUAAGUAGUGGUAUAAUACUCGGGUGCCUUGGUAGUGUAGUACUUGGGAGCUUCAGUGUAGUAGCUGGGGGCAGCGUAGGUUGUAGUGUAAUAUUCGGGGGCCUUGGUGUAAUAAACAGGAGCCUCUGUUUGGUAGUAGCCUGGAGCAGAGUAAUACUUGGGUUCCUCGGCGUAGUAGACUGUAGUAGCGUACGUGGUUGUGUAA